AGAUUGAACGCUGGCGGCAUGCCUUACACAUGCAAGUCGAACGGCAGCACGGGAGCAAUCCUGGUGGCGAGUGGCGAACGGGUGAGUAAUAUAUCGGAACGUGCCCAGUCGUGGGGGAUAACGCAGCGAAAGCUGUGCUAAUACCGCAUACGAUCUAUGGAUGAAAGCGGGGGAUCGCAAGACCUCGCGCGAUUGGAGCGGCCGAUAUCAGAUUAGCUAGUUGGUGGGGUAAAAGCCUACCAAGGCGACGAUCUGUAGCUGGUCUGAGAGGACGACCAGCCACACUGGAACUGAGACACGGUCCAGACUCCUACGGGAGGCAGCAGUGGGAAUUUUGGACAAUGGGCGCAAGCCUGAUCCAGCAAUGCCGCGUGCAGGAUGAAGGCCUUCGGUUGUAAACUGCUUUUGUACGGAACGAAACGGUUCUUCUACUAAUACGAGGGCUAAGUGACGGUACCGUAAGAAUAAGACACCGGCUAA
This 480-nucleotide ribosomal RNA is filed under the name uncultured soil bacterium. RNAcentral's name for it is "bacterial SSU rRNA". It matches the Rfam family "Bacterial small subunit ribosomal RNA", at positions 26 to 500 of the family's 1533-position model. The record is from RNAcentral.